AUGGCCACAUCAUGUUGAAACGUUGUUUCCCCAUACGAUCACCAAAGUUAAGCAACGUUGAGACUGGUCAGUACCUAGAUGGGUGACCACUUGGAAAUACCAGGUGCUGCAAG
This is a non-coding RNA of Acanthosepion pharaonis, 113 nucleotides long. The record is from the annotation of a GenBank genome assembly. NCBI's taxonomy places the organism in Eukaryota, Metazoa, Mollusca, Cephalopoda, Sepiida, Sepiidae.